This 131-nucleotide small nucleolar RNA is filed under the name Piliocolobus tephrosceles (Ugandan red Colobus). RNAcentral describes it as "Small nucleolar RNA SNORA26 (ENSPTEG00000028510.1)". It matches the Rfam family "Small nucleolar RNA SNORA26". Rfam says of the family: The snoRNA HBI-6 belong to the H/ACA family of snoRNAs, guiding the pseudouridylation of position U4522 if the 28S rRNA. HBI-6 is the human orthologue of mouse MBI-6 snoRNA. The record is from Rfam by way of RNAcentral. Lineage: Eukaryota; Metazoa; Chordata; Mammalia; Primates; Cercopithecidae.
GUGCCUUUUAAGGUAGACACAGUUUUUUAAGAGGCUAACACAGAAGGGUAAAGUAAGUCUCCAUAAAACCCAGUGAAGAGACAGAAGAGACUGUGAAACUCCUCUUUGGACCCCCAUCUGGAGUCAUAGCA